GACCGCUCUGGUUGCCUAGUGGAUAGGGCAUCCGCCUCGGAUGCGGGAGGUCGUGGGUAAAAUUCCCGGCUGAGUCA
Potamilus streckersoni is the source of this 77-nucleotide non-coding RNA. NCBI's taxonomy places the organism in Eukaryota, Metazoa, Mollusca, Bivalvia, Unionida, Unionidae. The record is from the annotation of a GenBank genome assembly.